RNAcentral lists this long non-coding RNA (504 nucleotides) under Pollicipes pollicipes. RNAcentral describes it as "uncharacterized LOC119095408". The record is from RNAcentral. Lineage: Eukaryota; Metazoa; Arthropoda; Thecostraca; Pollicipedomorpha; Pollicipedidae.
GCGGGAGGAGGCAUCAGUCGCAGCACAGCACUCAGCCAGCAGCUAUGAAGGUCGUCGCUCUCCUGCUUGUGGUCUGCGCCUCCGUGGCCUGGGCGAAGCCCCUCUGCAUCGGAGGCAUCUGCAUUCCUAGCAGUCAGGCCACUGGAGGGGCUGCGGGCACCGUCACCAGUGGCACCAGCAAUACAUUUGGUGGCACCAGCAAGGUUACGUCCGUCGGCUCCUCUGCAGGGGGAUCCGCCAGCGGGCCGUGUGCGAGCAGCACCAACCUCGCACAUGCAUCCAACAAAAACAAACAGGGACUGCUGGGCAAUGCGGAAUCAAGCGACACCGGAGCCGUCUCGAACCAGAACACCGGCUGCUAAAUGACUCAGUCGCAGUCAUCUCGGCAUGCGUCGCAAUGGCACAUGUGAAACGCUUGUUACGUCGACAGACGUUGUGAUAUCGGGCGUCGGUUGUGAUAUGGGAGCGAAAUGUGCAAUACAGGCUCAUCCCCGACAUGAUUGA